Molecule: non-coding RNA, 21 nt
Filed under: Arabidopsis thaliana (thale cress)
Lineage: Eukaryota; Viridiplantae; Streptophyta; Magnoliopsida; Brassicales; Brassicaceae
Source: RNAcentral
CAGAAAUUUGAAUGAUGCGUC